GUGGGUAUAGCUCAGUGGUAGAGCACAUGCCUAGCAUGCAUGAGGUCCUGGGUUCAACCCCCAGUACCACCA
RNAcentral lists this transfer RNA (72 nucleotides) under Camelus bactrianus (Bactrian camel). It matches the Rfam family "tRNA". Rfam says of the family: Transfer RNA (tRNA) molecules are approximately 80 nucleotides in length. Their secondary structure includes four short double-helical elements and three loops (D, anti-codon, and T loops). Further hydrogen bonds mediate the characteristic L-shaped molecular structure. tRNAs have two regions of fundamental functional importance: the anti-codon, which is responsible for specific mRNA codon recognition, and the 3' end, to which the tRNAs corresponding amino acid is attached (by aminoacyl-tRNA synthetases). tRNAs cope with the degeneracy of the genetic code in two manners: having more than one tRNA (with a specific anti-codon) for a particular amino acid; and 'wobble' base-pairing, i.e. permitting non-standard base-pairing at the 3rd anti-codon position. Lineage: Eukaryota; Metazoa; Chordata; Mammalia; Artiodactyla; Camelidae. The record is from Rfam by way of RNAcentral. RNAcentral also lists the same sequence under 3 other names.